RNAcentral lists this ribosomal RNA (446 nucleotides) under uncultured bacterium. RNAcentral describes it as "partial 16S ribosomal RNA". It matches the Rfam family "Bacterial small subunit ribosomal RNA", at positions 338 to 795 of the family's 1533-position model. The record is from RNAcentral.
CCUACGGGUGGCAGCAGUCGAGAAUCAUUCACAAUGGGGGAAACCCUGAUGGUGCGACGCCGCGUGGGGGAAUGAAGGGCUUCGGAUUGUAAACCCCUGUCAUGUGGGAGCAAAUUAAAAAGAUAGUACCACAAGAGGAAGAGACGGCUAACUCUGUCCCAGCAGCCGCGGUAAUACAGAGGUCUCAAGCGUUGUUCGGAAUCACUGGGCGUAAAGCGUGCGUAGGCUGUUUCGUAAGGCGUGUGUGAAAGGUGCGGGCUCAACCCGCGGACUGCACAUGAUACUGCGAGACUAGAGUAAUGGAGGGGGAAGCGGAAUGCGCGGUGUAGCAGUGAAAUGCGUAGAUAUCGAGAGGAACACUCGUGGCGAAGGCGGGUUCCUGGACAUUAACUGACGCUGAGGCACGAAGGCCAGGGGAGCGAAAGGGAUUAGAUACCCGAGUAGUC